This 324-nucleotide ribosomal RNA is filed under the name uncultured eukaryote. RNAcentral's name for it is "partial 18S ribosomal RNA". It matches the Rfam family "Eukaryotic small subunit ribosomal RNA", at positions 1470 to 1796 of the family's 1831-position model. The record is from RNAcentral.
CCCUUAGAUGUUCUGGGCUGCACGCGCGCUACACUGAAGCUAUCAACACGUUUUCCCUCCCUGAGAAGGGCGGGUAACCUUUUGAAUCAGCUUCGUGGUAGGGAUCGGGGCUUGCAAUUGUUCCCCGUGAACCAGGAAUUCCUAGUAGACGCGAGUCAUAAGCUCGCAUCGAUUAAGUCCCUGCCCUUUGUACACACCGCCCGUCGCUACUACCGAUUGAACGUUUUAGUGAGGCAUUUAGACCGACGCAUCUCAGUUUAACCGCUGGUUUGUGUUGGAAAGACUUCCAAACUUGAGCGUUUAGAGGAAGUAAAAGUCGUAACA